CAUCUUGGGUCCGUUACUAAUCCACACACGGCCUGCCUCGGCACCCGUGACAGUCAGAUUGUGAAAUAUAGCAUGACAGCAUGUCUUCUAUCCUGCCUUCCUUAUCUCACCCCAACCGUCACAGCAGAUGGCCGCCCCUCCCUGAGCCUGGUUCUGCCGGAGGUUUGUUCUUGUUAAAAGAGGAAGGUGGGACGAGAAGGAGCAGUGAGCACGGGGAGUGCAGGGACACUGGAGCAGAGAGCACUACACUGGGACUCUUCUGGGAAGAAGACACAACACGGGAGUCUGGGAAACUGGGGAAUUUAUUGUUGCUUACGUCACCA
Molecule: long non-coding RNA, 323 nt
Organism: Oreochromis aureus
Lineage: Eukaryota; Metazoa; Chordata; Actinopteri; Cichliformes; Cichlidae
Source: Ensembl